This 497-nucleotide ribosomal RNA is filed under the name uncultured bacterium. RNAcentral describes it as "partial 16S ribosomal RNA". It matches the Rfam family "Bacterial small subunit ribosomal RNA", at positions 28 to 507 of the family's 1533-position model. The record is from RNAcentral.
GAUGAACGCUGGCGGCGUGCCUAAUACAUGCAAGUCGAGCGAACAGAUGAGGAGCUUGCUCCUCUGACGUUAGCGGCGGACGGGUGAGUAACACGUGGAUAACCUACCUAUAAGACUGGGAUAACUUCGGGAAACCGGAGCUAAUACCGGAUAAUAUAUUGAACCGCAUGGUUCAAUAGUGAAAGACGGUUUUGCUGUCACUUAUAGAUGGAUCCGCGCCGCAUUAGCUAGUUGGUAAGGUAACGGCUUACCAAGGCAACGAUGCGUAGCCGACCUGAGAGGGUGGUCGGCCACACUGGAAGUGAGACACGGUCCAGACUCCUACGGUAGGAAGCAGUAGGGAAUCUUCCGCAAUGGGCGAGAGCCUGACGGAGCAACGCCGCGUGAGUGAUGAAGGUGUUCGGAUCGUAAAACUCUGUUAUUAGGGAAGAACAAAUGUGUAAGUAACUAUGCACGUCUUGACGGUACCUAAUCAGAAAGCCACGGCUAACUACGUG